AGAGAAGUUAGCUCAGGGCCAAUCUUCACCAAGCAAAAGGAGGAAGAUGGGCAACAGAUGUCAGCUCAAGGCCAAUCUUCCUCAUCAAAAAAAAUCCUUUUUUGAUGAUAGAUUACUAUAGGGAUAUUUGCUGUGUCACAGAAGUAGUCCUGACAACUUAGUGAAUCAACGACUUAAAAAAAGCUGCUUCCAUCCUGUCAAAGAAAAGAAUCCCUAACCAAUCUAUAAAUCAAAAUUGGGAUGAGUUUGUUAUGAGCUGGAUCUGAGGACCAUGUAGCCCCGGAGAGCCCUUCCACAAAGGAACGGAGCACUCCAAAGAAGUGGGGUGGACAGAGUGGUUAUCUACCAUCAAAGAGCAGGUGUCACAUCUGAUUGGAGCGUCCCUGUUACAACAGUCACAAGAUUGCCUUGCCGGCACAGCUAUGCACACAGCAACUGAUGAACCCAGCGGGCCGCAGGUCUGUGGUCACAGGGAGCAUUAAAGGGAAGCUUUGACAAGUGGGACAUAGAGGAGCCUCUGAAGGCGGGUCCAGGACCAUCGCACAGGAGAAUGAAGGACCUGGGUCUUCGGGAGGAGGGAGACGGGCAGGAUGGAACAGGUACCCCCAGCAGCCUGGCACCGUUCUCCAGCCGGGUGGUCCACCUGCCAACCUCCCGUGGGCUGAGGUGGAAUUAGCGCUGUUUUGCAGGGCUCUGGUCUCAGCGAUGGGAGGGUUUGUUUCCGAUUUUCACCAGCGUUCUCAUCCAACCCCUACAUGCUGUGUCCUCCUGCGCACAGCUCUGCCCCAGCCCCCAACACGGCAAGGACAGCGGGCUCCAGGCUGAUUGCCCGGUGCAACUCCACGGAGCAGAAAGCCAUGGCCGAAAGAGUCUCAUGGUUUCACCUGUGUCGCUCAGCCAUGAUGGGCUCAGAACAACCAUCCACCAGAGGAGGGCUGGCAGCUGCCCCUGCCACCACUGAGAGCUGCCUCUGGCCACCAGCACCAAAGGGAGAGAUGAGAAGUCCUUUCUUUGUCUGCUGUGAGUGGCCCUGCUGUCAGCAUUCGGCCCACCGCCUCUUUCUCUUCCCUCGGCCUCAGAGAUGCAGUGUUUCACAGAGGACCCCGGUCCUCCCUGUGUGAUCAACCCCCAGCAGACGCCUGGGAGGCGGAGUCCCAGCACCUGGCAAGGAUGAGAGCGUGUGGGGACCGCCAGCACACAGGGCAGGGCCUGGGCCACCUGAAGCAGCCUGGGCAACUCUGCAGGAGCCUCUCCUGGGCUGGCCGUUUUCCCGGGACAUUCUCCUCAGUUCUGGGGCUGGUCCUCAGCAUCUGAGACGCAAAACCCCAGAAGGAUGCACUUUGAGAGUGUGCCUACAUGGACUAAGAUAAAAGACUGAUGAUGUGCUCGUUCCUUUACUCCCAGGUCAACAAAGUUUAGGGUGAACCAUAUGAAUGAUUUUGUGGACAAAAGACCUAUUUUUCAGAUAUUGGAAUCUCCCAUCUAAUACUAUUCUUGAGCCCCUCCCAUGUCCCCUGCCUGUUUCAGGUGCUGGACUCAGAAGGUGAAAGUGACAGCCCAGGUCCCUGACACUGGGCAUGUCAUUCAGUGCACGACCUAUAGCCUGGGUGGUGCACACAGUGACCUGGUGUUGAGUCUGAUAUUCACGGUGGAACGGCUGCCCCUUUUCCAGUCCUCAGGCCUUGGGACAACACCACCAGAACGGCCCAUUCAAGGCAUGUAUGUGCACGGUCACACGUGUGUAUGAAGGAGAGAAUGAGCGAGCACCGGUGUGCUGGGGGGCGUGGUGGUGGUCCUGCCUUUCGGGUUCGCCACCCUGUCACACUGAUGCUCUGACUGCCACUUUUCUCGUCUUCGGUGCUUGCUCCUAACGUGGCUUUCUGCAUCGAGAUGUGGUGUCACUGACACAUGUUGAAUCAGGACCGAAGAGCAUCAGAAGAAAACAAACCAGACAACAAAUGCAUAUCCUGCUGAUAAGUCAAUUAUUCAUUUUUUUGGAGAAACAAGAAUCUAAUAACAUACAUUACAAGAAAAGCAAGCAAGGGACUGGCCCAGUGGCAUAGUGGUUAAGUUCACACACUCCACUUCAGUGGCCCAGGGGUCACAGGUUCAGAUCCCAGAUGUGGACCUAGCACCACUCAUCAAGCCACGCUGUGGCAGCAUCCCACAUAAAACAGACGAUGGUCGGCACAGAUGUUAGCUCAGCGACAAUCUUCCUCUCCAAAAAAAAAAAAAAGGCUAGCAAGCCUGUGAAUAAUGUAAAACAGGAGGCAAUAAAUGAGACGAUUGGAUCAGAGAGAUUUUCUGACUGUUCUGUUUAAAUUUAUAAUUAAUACUUUGAUUCUUUUUAAAUAGUUCAAGGGCCAUCCAUCACCUGCACGAGCGACUACAGUGGAAAGAAACCGUCCUGGAGGAGGCUGUGAAACAUGUGAGUCAGUCAGUCUGGAAUUUAAAUAUUGCAAACCAACCACAAUGUGGUUAAUCCUUAGCCCGGCCGCCUUUCAAGGGAGCAAAAUAGAAUUUAGUGAAGCGGAAAAGACAGUUUACGAAAUUGAUAACUGUCACCUUGAGGAAUUUCCUAAGCACGGCCCCCAAGUCCAGCCCAAAUCCGGCCCUCGGAGCUCUUUACAGGUUGCUCGCUAAUUCUCCAGAGUCCGCAAUGUUGGAAGGAGGAGAGCUGUCACGGCAGGUCAGCAUGGGACGCUGAUGGACGGAAGGGCCUCGGAGGCCCCGGGUGCAUCAGGAAUUGCAUCAGGAAGGGAGGAGGCCAGAGGACCCAGGGACAGGAGCAGGCGGCACGCCUACGGAGAAGAGUUAACUGGGCGGAGCGGGGAAGGAGCAACUCUGGACGGGGCCAGUCCAGGCCUGGCCACUGGAGAUGGGCCUUGAAUCCCUGAAUCUCCGACCCCAACCAUGCGUCCCUGCAUCCAGCCCAACCCCGAUCAGAGAGGGCAAGGCGCAAAAAAUGUCCCCUGAGUGACGGAGCUUGAUUAGUUAGUUACAGAUUUGGAAGCACCUCAUACGGCACAAAAUUAGAAUAUUUCUGAAUAACGUUUUUGAAACCGUGAGGGUCCCAGGCACUGAAGAGUCCUUUGGGCCGUCAAGAGCAACAGCACGGUGAAAAACGUGACUGCUGGAAACUUUUCCUCAAAAGUCCAAUCGCUGGGAAGACUCCGGGCGUGACACAAAUUUAUGUGUCCAUCUCUGGCCAGGGGCGCCCAGAGAUUCAGCUAAACAAGAUCCUGGGUAUGUCCAUGAGGGUGUUUCUGGGUGAGAUUAGCAUUUGGCCUUGCAGACGGAGUAAAGCCCUCCCCAGUGUCGGUGGGCAUCUUCAGACCCACUGAGGCCUGAAUGGAACCGAAGGGCUGAGGAGGGAGAAUUCGCUCUGUGCCCGACUGUCUUCGAGCUGGGACGUCGGCCUUCUCCUCCCUUUGGACUCGGACUGGGACUUGGGCCAGCUGCACUCCUGGGUCUCCAGCCUGCAAAGAGCAGACCGCAGGACUUCUCAGCCUCCAGGACCAAGUGAGCCAGUUCCUUAAAUUAAACCGUAUUUGUAUGCUGCACUUCUCUGGGAAACCCAGACUAGCACACUCAUGUUCAUCACGCAAGGCAGGAAUCAAAUCACACUUGUAAGAUGACACUGGUUUUGACAAUUUCAUAGACAUAAAUACCUACAUACACGUGCAUUGAACAGUUUGGGAAGAAAUUCAGCAAAAAAUUCUGGUGGUUGAAAUUGAGUUGUGAGACUAUAAAGAAUUUUUUGCUUUUUAUACUUUUCUCUGUUUUUCCUGUAUACUACAACAUGUGUAAUUUACUUUCACCAG
This is a long non-coding RNA of Equus caballus (horse), 3824 nucleotides long. The record is from Ensembl. NCBI's taxonomy places the organism in Eukaryota, Metazoa, Chordata, Mammalia, Perissodactyla, Equidae.